UACGUAGGGUGCGAGCGUUAAUCGGAAUUACUGGGCGUAAAGCGUGCGCAGGCGGUUCGCUGUGUCCGAUGUGAAAGCCCCGGGCUCAACCUGGGAAUGGCAUUGGAAACUGGCGGGCUUGAGUGCGGCAGAGGGGGGUGGAAUUCCGCGUGUAGCAGUGAAAUGCGUAGAGAUGCGGAGGAACACCGAUGGCGAAGGCAGCCCCCUGGGUCGACACUGACGCUCAGGCACGAAAGCGUGGGGAGCAAACAGG
RNAcentral lists this ribosomal RNA (253 nucleotides) under uncultured bacterium. RNAcentral describes it as "partial 16S ribosomal RNA". It matches the Rfam family "Bacterial small subunit ribosomal RNA", at positions 524 to 776 of the family's 1533-position model. The record is from RNAcentral.